CAAGCGUUGUUCGGAUUUACUGGGCGUAAAGGGCGCGUAGGCGGCACCGCAAGUCGACUGUGAAAUCUCCGGGCUUAACCCGGAAAGGUCAGCCGAUACUGCGGGGCUAGAGUGCAGAAGGGGCAACUGGAAUUCUCGGUGUAGCGGUGAAAUGCGUAGAUAUCGAGAGGAACACCUGCGGCGAAGGCGGGUUGCUGGGCUGACACUGACGCUGAUGCGCGAAAGCUAGGGGAGCGAACGGG
Molecule: ribosomal RNA, 242 nt
Filed under: uncultured bacterium
Lineage: Bacteria
Description: partial 16S ribosomal RNA
Rfam family: Bacterial small subunit ribosomal RNA
Source: RNAcentral